UUGCUUUUAGCACUCAAAUUUAAUGAGAUAAAUUGUUUUGAAGUAGUUUUUUUUAUUUAGACCUUAUUUCGCCAAGAAUACAGUUUGUAAUCUCGGUUUGAGAAUUGGCGGGAAUUUCGAAUAAGGCUGGCAUGUUUAGGAUUUUGACACAAGUUUUGGUAGGUUUUCAAGAAGGUGGUAUUUUCCAAGGCCUCGCCUACACAAGAACGUUUUGUUUCACGGUUGUCUCGUAUAGAGUGUUGGGUAUUAUGGUAAAAUAUCCAAUCACGACUUUAUGCACGGUACGUGGUGAACAGCACUGACUGUAUUCACUACUAAAUUUUGUUGCGGGGAUGGAAGAACGGGAUUUGUAAUGCGUGAAGUAUGGUAGGGGCGACAGAUGAGAUAUGAACGGUAUGGUGAAGUGCGUGAUGUAUAAAUGGGGCGAAACAACUUGCUCACUUUUUAAGGUCAGAGCGAGUCCUUAACAUAGCCAAGGGUUUGUAUUUCGGUGGUAGGUUUCGAGUGCUUACCACACUCGAGCACGGUUUUGUGCAAUUUUGCGUAUUUGUGGCUACGCAUUUGGUCGGUAUGGGGUUCAUACCCAGCAGUUACCAUUUUUGAGGGGCUGUUUUAAAUUGGGUUCUUGCUUUUUUGGACAUAUCGACCGCGGUACCCCUUUUGGUUUGGUACCUUUUGUUUUAUCGUGUUGACGAUCCAAUGAGCCAUUUUUGAAGGCAUUGGAACGGCACUCGGUGUCUCCGCCACCUUUUUCAUGCCUGCUACCGCAAUGCAACUCAGCCAAAUGGUUGAAAUUUUUUCGAUUUAGUAUGGUUUUAGAGUUUAGGGUAGUUAUCCUUGGACGCACGACCCCUCGUCUUGUACCAGUCGUCGUGCCGCCAAGGACGACGAACCACUCACCUGCUAUAUACCUCGUUUUGUUUAGGUAUUUAUUUGGUUAUUUUUUUUUUUUUGGUUCGGCUAUUUUUUUGUUUUGGUUUUUGAUUCCGGAGAGUUGGGGGGACAGGUGUACCUCAUCAACUCAAAGGGCCGUUUUGGUUUUUUUUUUUAGAUUUGGUUUGGUGAUUGUUGUCUGCCUGAAGGGUUGGGACAGGCCUUAGUGUCCUCAACCGGUAGGGUUGCAACAAAGGUUUUCGUUGAAGGCUUAUAGUUAGGGGACUGUAGGUCUCAUUUUCGCCCGGUCUAGCUGAGUUUUUUUUUAAUGCUGAACUUCGGUCCUGGCGGUUGGUUUUUGGCUUUUUCAGCGCAACAAGCUUUUAUCGCGUUGUGCUGAGAAGGCCAACGGUUUGUUUACGGGUUGGAAGGAUAGACUGAGGUUUUUUUUCUAUGUGCAGCGCAGUUGGCCGCAUAGUUUUUUUUUCACCUUCCGUGGUACUGACGUGGGUUCGAGAUUAUUAUUUAGAUUUUUUUGUUCGGUCAGAACAGCAGUUAUUUUAAAUUGUUUAAUGUUAGUAUGAUUUUACUUUAAGAUUUUUUGGGGGUUCGUUUGAGCAUUUUUGGUAUGUUUUGAAUCUCGAAGUUGCGUCAGACUUUUUGUUUACAUUCUAGGUUUUCUAGGUCAGUUUGAGUAGGUUAGUUUUCUUGCCUUCACUUAGUUUUAAAUUUUGUUUUAGGAUGAAAGUCGCUGAGGACAGCGAGCGGUUCACCUACGUUGAACCUUAAAAUCGGGGAGGGGGGUAUUGUAACGUAGACAUUUUCUUGGAUUUUUAAUUAAUAUUUUUGGGUUGAAUUCUUUUUCUUCUUUCAACGUUUUUAACAAUAUCCCAAACUAACUCGAUUGAUUGCACUUCUUUGCAUAAUCUGUUGCAUUCAGAUGCACCGUUUGAUGCUUAUCUGUUGUCGGGGUUGUCAUAUGAGUAAAAAUAAUUAAAACUUGAGAUAUUUAUGUUGUCACUCCAGGAAAACUUUGUAUGGUUUAGGUAUGACUUUUUUAGAUAAAAAAUAAUAUUGAUGUAAAACAAAACAUAGAAAUUACAGACUGACAAAGAGACUCUGGAAUGAAACAUUAUUAGAUUUAAUGAUAAAAUAUAUUUUUUAGGCUCAAGAAAGAGUUCCUUGAUAAAUCAGUUCAGAAUUUUCGAAGGAUUUGUGUCUUCAGGGAUUGGCACCCUACUUUUGUUUUUUGCCUUUUGUUCUCAACAUAUGAGGAGAUCAUUCUGAGGUGACAUGCACUUUUGAUGUGUGGACCCCUCCGGGGACGCACGCUCGCAUGAGCCCUAUUUUGUGAUAAGACCACACAUUCCACAUGGUGGUCAAAAUGGUGGAAGCAGUUCGAGUCCUUCGGUGUGUUCCACUGAAGUUGACUCCUGCUCGAGGGAAGGGAGCGCUCCGCCAGAAGUCCUAACAGCUUCCAGUGCGGUGAGCUAAAUUUCCAAUUGUUUCAUUUCUUCUCUAGCGGCCAUAAAGGGCACCGGCUAAUAUAUCCUUUUCUCGCUUUGCAGGAGCCGGGAUGUUUCUAGAAGCUUUCGAUGCUUCUAGAUGUUUCUAGAUGUUUCUAGAAGCUUUUGAUGUUUCUAGAAGUUUCAAGAUGUUUCGAAUUUGAAGUUUUAAAAUGAUGCUGUGGGAUCUGUCCCACGUCAUCUGCACUGGCCGGCUCCAACCAGGUUAGCAGUCAGCUUCCCGGGGAUAGGCGAGGUCACUCCCCGCUGCUCCAGGUCCGGUAGCAGUUUUUGAGGUCGGUCCGAUGCAUCUUUAAUUUUCAAAUUGCGUCUGCGCUCGGCUACAAAUUUAAAAUGUGAUUUAGAGCAAUAGUUAUUUUAAUUUAAAGUUUUGAAAGUUCUGGUGCAUAAAACUUAGGUAUUUCGAAAUUUAGUCUUUAGUAAUUAAUUAAUUGGUGUAAACCUUAUAACAUGAACCUGUGAAGCGACCCAGCUAUACCACUGAGCUUUUACAUAAUAAUAUUAGGUUAAUAAAGUUUGUUAGAUA
This is a long non-coding RNA of Cydia fagiglandana, 2925 nucleotides long. RefSeq lists it as uncharacterized. The transcript is spliced from 2 exons. Lineage: Eukaryota; Metazoa; Arthropoda; Insecta; Lepidoptera; Tortricidae. The record is from RefSeq and is a predicted model, not a curated record.